CCUACGGGAGGCAGCAGUGGGGAAUAUUGCACAAUGGGGGAAACCCUGAUGCAGCGACGCCGCGUGAGUGAAGAAGUAAUUCGUUAUGUAAAGCUCUAUCAGCAGGGAAGAAAAUGACGGUACCUGAGUAAGAAGCCCCGUCUAACUACGUGCCAGCAGCCGCGGGAAUACGGAGGGGGCAAGCGUUAUCCGGAUUUACUGGGCGUUAAGGGAGCGUAGACGGUAGGGCAAGUCCGGAGGGAAAAGCGGGGGCUCAACCCCCGGACUGCUCUGGAAACUGUACGGCUGGAGUGCAGGAGAGGUAAGUGGAAUUCCUGGUGUAGCGGUGAAAUGCGUAGAUAUUAGGAGGAACACCAGUGGCGAAGGCAGCUUACUGGACUGUAACUGACGUUGAGGCUCGAAAGCGUGGGGAGCAAACAGGAUUAGAUACCCUUGUAGUC
RNAcentral lists this ribosomal RNA (440 nucleotides) under uncultured bacterium. Its description in RNAcentral is "partial 16S ribosomal RNA". It matches the Rfam family "Bacterial small subunit ribosomal RNA", at positions 338 to 795 of the family's 1533-position model. The record is from RNAcentral.